UGUGUGUGUGUGUGUGUGUUUAAUUUGUAACAAAACCUUACUGACAGAUGCAAACAGUAAAUCCUCUUUUGCAAUCCAGAACUCAUUGUUGAGUAUGAGUUUUUGGUACAAGUAAGAAUAUG
Dipodomys ordii (Ord's kangaroo rat) is the source of this 122-nucleotide non-coding RNA. Lineage: Eukaryota; Metazoa; Chordata; Mammalia; Rodentia; Heteromyidae. The record is from Rfam.